RNAcentral lists this ribosomal RNA (435 nucleotides) under uncultured bacterium. RNAcentral describes it as "partial 16S ribosomal RNA". It matches the Rfam family "Bacterial small subunit ribosomal RNA", at positions 29 to 507 of the family's 1533-position model. The record is from RNAcentral.
AGCGAACGCUGGCGGCAGGCUUAACACAUGCAAGUCGAGCGGGCAUCUUCGGAUGUCAGCGGCAGACGGGUGAGUAACACGUGGGAACGUACCCUUCGGUUCGGAACAACUCUGGGAAACUGGAGCUAAUACCGGAUACGCCCUUAUGGGGAAAGGUUUACUGCCGAAGGAUCGGCCCGCGUCUGAUUAGCUAGUUGGUGGGGUAACGGCCUACCAAGGCGACGAUCAGUAGCUGGUCUGAGAGGAUGAUCAGCCACACUGGGACUGAGACACGGCCCAGACUCCUACGGGAGGCAGCAGUGGGGAAUAUUGGACAAUGGGCGCAAGCCUGAUCCAGCCAUGCCGCGUGAGUGAUGAAGGCCUUAGGGUUGUAAAGCUCUUUUGUCCGGGACGAUAAUGACGGUACCGUAAGAAUAAGCCCCGGCUAACUUCGUG